This 301-nucleotide ribosomal RNA is filed under the name uncultured bacterium. RNAcentral describes it as "partial 16S ribosomal RNA". It matches the Rfam family "Bacterial small subunit ribosomal RNA", at positions 509 to 807 of the family's 1533-position model. The record is from RNAcentral.
CAGCCGCCACGGUAAUACAGAGGGUGCGAGCGUUAAUCGGAUUUACUGGGCGUAAAGCGUGCGUAGGCGGCUUUUUAAGUCGGAUGUGAAAUCCCUGAGCUUAACUUAGGAAUUGCAUUAGAUACUGGGAAGCUAGAGUAUGGGAGAGGAUGGUAGAAUUCCAGGUGUAGCGGUGAAAUGCGUAGAGAUCUGGAGGAAUACCGAUGGCGAAGGCAGCCAUCUGGCCUAAUACUGACGCUGAGGUACGAAAGCAUGGGGAGCAAACAGGAUUAGAUACCCCCGUAGUCCCUGUCUCUUAUAC